Molecule: RNase P RNA, 347 nt
Filed under: bovine gut metagenome
Description: Bacterial RNase P class A
Rfam family: Bacterial RNase P class A
About the family: Ribonuclease P (RNase P) is a ubiquitous endoribonuclease, found in archaea, bacteria and eukarya as well as chloroplasts and mitochondria. Its best characterised activity is the generation of mature 5'-ends of tRNAs by cleaving the 5'-leader elements of precursor-tRNAs.
Source: RNAcentral
CUGGGCAGCAAUGCCGAGAGGAAAGUCCGGGCAGCACGAGCCACCAUGCUUCCUAACGGGAAGAGGCUGUGAGGGUAACCUUGCAGUUAUAGAAAGCGCCACAGAAAAGAUACCGCCCCGGAAGGUGUUACCGAUCCUCAGGGGUAAGGGUGAAAACGCGGGGUAAGAGCCCACGACGUGACCCGGCAACGGGCACGAUGGCAAGCCUCAUGGGCUGAAAGACCAUGUAUACCGGCUAGAUGUAGGGCAGGCUCGCCCGAUGCCGGGGGGUGGGUUGAUUGAGGUUGCUGGCGACAGCAACACUAGAUUAAUGAUAGGACACGACAGAACCCGGCUUACAGGCCCCU